Long non-coding RNA from Myripristis murdjan (pinecone soldierfish), 82 nucleotides. RefSeq lists it as uncharacterized. Lineage: Eukaryota; Metazoa; Chordata; Actinopteri; Holocentriformes; Holocentridae. The record is from RefSeq and is a predicted model, not a curated record. The transcript is spliced from 3 exons.
GGGGAAUUAAAGCUGGAAGAUCUCUAAUACAUUUUAUGGGUCAUGGAUUGAAAUAUCCCUUGAUUCAUCUUAAUCUAGAUUU